GUAAGGAGUUUUCGGCAAUGGGGGGAACCCUGACCGAGCAACGCCGCGUGAGUGAUGACGGCCCUAUGGGUUGUAAAGCUCUGUUAUAAGGGACGAACAGCUUUGCUAGGAAAUGAGCAGAGUCUGACGGUACUUUAUCAGAAAGCCACGGCUAACUACGUGCCAGCAGCCGCGGUAAUACGUAGGUGGCAAGCGUUAUCCGGAAUUAUUGGGCGUAAAGAGUGAGCAGGCGGCAGAUUAAGUUUGAGGUUAAAGCGUGGGGCUCAACCCCAUAAAGCCUUGAAAACUGAUCAGCUAGAGUACGAGAGAUGUGAAGGGAACUCCAUGUGUAGCGGUGAAAUGCGUAGAUAUAUGGAAGAACACCAGUGGCGAAGGCGCUUCACAAGCUCGAAACUGACGCUCAGUCACGAAAGCGUGGGUAGCAAAUAGGAUUAGAAACCCCGGUAGUCC
This 450-nucleotide ribosomal RNA is filed under the name uncultured bacterium. Its description in RNAcentral is "partial 16S ribosomal RNA". It matches the Rfam family "Bacterial small subunit ribosomal RNA", at positions 354 to 796 of the family's 1533-position model. The record is from RNAcentral.